AGCUCAUCCUGCCAUAUUUACCUUCCUGGCUAAGGCUUUUUAAAUUUCAUACUCACUAUUUUACAGGACAGAAAGACUGGGAUUUAGUCUGAUGGUUUGCUCCAGUCCUGAUCUCUGGAUGUUCUCUAGUUUUAAACCAUUUAAACUAUUUCACAGACACUGCACUCCCAUAGCUGAUCCCAAAGGAAUGCAUUCUUGAUGCAUUUACGAACAGCUGAUGCACUUCACAGCAAUGAGAAGACAAGCAAGAGUAAAAGAGGACUGGAAGCAGAAAGCUGAGGAAGAUCAGAAAGAGAAGUAAUGAAACAGGACUUGGUGACAGGCAAUAAAUGAGCAUCAGACAGGAGUCAUCCAA
Molecule: long non-coding RNA, 355 nt
Organism: Passer domesticus (house sparrow)
Lineage: Eukaryota; Metazoa; Chordata; Aves; Passeriformes; Passeridae
Exons: 2
Source: RefSeq, a predicted model, not a curated record